Molecule: ribosomal RNA, 227 nt
Filed under: uncultured bacterium
Lineage: Bacteria
Description: partial 16S ribosomal RNA
Rfam family: Bacterial small subunit ribosomal RNA
Source: RNAcentral
CGGGUGAGUAAUGUCUGGGAAACUGCCUGAUGGAGGGGGAUAACUACUGGAAACGGUAGCUAAUACCGCAUAACGUCGCAAGACCAAGAGGGGGACCUUCGGGCCUCUUGCCAUCGGAUGUGCCCAGAUGGGAUUAGCUAGUAGGUGGGGUAACGGCUCACCUAGGCGACGAUCCCUAGCUGGUCUGAGAGGAUGAUCAGCCACACUGGGACUGAGACACGGCCCAG